This 731-nucleotide ribosomal RNA is filed under the name uncultured bacterium. RNAcentral's name for it is "bacterial SSU rRNA". It matches the Rfam family "Bacterial small subunit ribosomal RNA", at positions 134 to 851 of the family's 1533-position model. The record is from RNAcentral.
CAGAAGGGGAUAACACUUGGAAACAGGUGCUAAUACCGUAUAACACUAUUUUCCGCAUGGAAGAAAGUUGAAAGGCGCUUUUGCGUCACUGAUGGAUGGACCCGCGGUGCAUUAGCUAGUUGGUGAGGUAACGGCUCACCAAGGCCACGAUGCAUAGCCGACCUGAGAGGGUGAUCGGCCACACUGGGACUGAGACACGGCCCAGACUCCUACGGGAGGCAGCAGUAGGGAAUCUUCGGCAAUGGACGAAAGUCUGACCGAGCAACGCCGCGUGAGUGAAGAAGGUUUUCGGAUCGUAAAACUCUGUUGUUAGAGAAGAACAAGGAUGAGAGUAAAAUGUUCAUCCCUUGACGGUAUCUAACCAGAAAGCCACGGCUAACUACGUGCCAGCAGCCGCGGUAAUACGUAGGUGGCAAGCGUUGUCCGGAUUUAUUGGGCGUAAAGCGAGCGCAGGCGGUUUCUUAAGUCUGAUGUGAAAGCCCCCGGCUCAACCGGGGAGGGUCAUUGGAAACUGGGAGACUUGAGUGCAGAAGAGGAGAGUGGAAUUCCAUGUGUAGCGGUGGAAUGCGUAGAUAUAUGGAGGAACACCAGUGGCGAAGGCGGCUCUCUGGUCUGUAACUGACGCUGAGGCUCGAAAGCGUGGGGAGCGAACAGGAUUAGAUACCCUGGUAGUCCACGCCGUAAACGAUGAGUACUAAGUGUUGGAGGGUUUCCGCCCUUCAGUGCUGCAG